RNAcentral lists this ribosomal RNA (1371 nucleotides) under uncultured bacterium. RNAcentral describes it as "bacterial SSU rRNA". It matches the Rfam family "Bacterial small subunit ribosomal RNA", at positions 28 to 1381 of the family's 1533-position model. The record is from RNAcentral.
GAUGAACGCUGGCGGCGUGCCUAAUACAUGCAAGUCGAGCGAACGGACGAGAAGCUUGCUUCUCUGAUGUUAGCGGCGGACGGGUGAGUAACACGUGGAUAACCUACCUAUAAGACUGGGAUAACUUCGGGAAACCGGAGCUAAUACCGGAUAAUAUUUUGAACCGCAUGGUUCAAAAGUGAAAGACGGUCUUGCUGUCACUUAUAGAUGGAUCCGCGCUGCAUUAGCUAGUUGGUAAGGUAACGGCUUACCAAGGCAACGAUGCAUAGCCGACCUGAGAGGGUGAUCGGCCACACUGGAACUGAGACACGGUCCAGACUCCUACGGGAGGCAGCAGUAGGGAAUCUUCCGCAAUGGGCGAAAGCCUGACGGAGCAACGCCGCGUGAGUGAUGAAGGUCUUCGGAUCGUAAAACUCUGUUAUUAGGGAAGAACAUAUGUGUAAGUAACUGUGCACAUCUUGACGGUACCUAAUCAGAAAGCCACGGCUAACUACGUGCCAGCAGCCGCGGUAAUACGUAGGUGGCAAGCGUUAUCCGGAAUUAUUGGGCGUAAAGCGCGCGUAGGCGGUUUUUUAGUCUGAUGUGAAAGCCCACGGCUCAACCGUGGAGGGUCAUUGGAAACUGGAAAACUUGAGUGCAGAAGAGGAUAGUGGAAUUCCAUGUGUAGCGGUGAAAUGCGCAGAGAUAUGGAGGAACACCAGUGGCGAAGGCGACUUUCUGGUCUGUAACUGACGCUGAUGUGCGAAAGCGUGGGGAUCAAACAGGAUUAGAUACCCUGGUAGUCCACGCCGUAAACGAUGAGUGCUAAGUGUUAGGGGGUUUCCGCCCCUUAGUGCUGCAGCUAACGCAUUAAGCACUCCGCCUGGGGAGUACGACCGCAAGGUUGAAACUCAAAGGAAUUGACGGGGACCCGCACAAGCGGUGGAGCAUGUGGUUUAAUUCGAAGCAACGCGAAGAACCUUACCAAAUCUUGACAUCCUUUGACAACUCUAGAGAUAGAGCUUUCCCCUUCGGGGGACAAAGUGACAGGUGGUGCGUGGUUGUCGUCAGCUCGUGUCGUGAGAUGUUGGGUUAAGUCCCGCAACGAGCGCAACCCUUAAGCUUAGUUGCCAUCAUUAAGUUGGGCACUCUAAGUUGACUGCCGGUGACAAACCGGAGGAAGGUGGGGAUGACGUCAAAUCAUCAUGCCCCUUAUGAUUUGGGCUACACACGUGCUACAAUGGACAAUACAAAGGGCAGCGAAACCGUGAGGUCAAGCAAAUCCCAUAAAGUUGUUCUCAGUUCGGAUUGUAGUCUGCAACUCGACUACAUGAAGCUGGAAUCGCUAGUAAUCGUAGAUCAGCAUGCUACGGUGAAUACGUUCCCGGGUCU